UUACGGCCAUAUCAUGUUGAAACACCGGUUCUUGUACGAUCACUAAAGUUAAGCAACUGGACAGUACCUAGAUGGGUGACCGCUUGGAAAUACAAAGUGCUGCGAG
Non-coding RNA from Acanthosepion pharaonis, 106 nucleotides. The record is from the annotation of a GenBank genome assembly. NCBI's taxonomy places the organism in Eukaryota, Metazoa, Mollusca, Cephalopoda, Sepiida, Sepiidae.